RNAcentral lists this ribosomal RNA (253 nucleotides) under uncultured bacterium. RNAcentral's name for it is "partial 16S ribosomal RNA". It matches the Rfam family "Bacterial small subunit ribosomal RNA", at positions 524 to 776 of the family's 1533-position model. The record is from RNAcentral.
UACGUAGGGGGCUAGCGUUGUCCGGAAUCAUUGGGCGUAAAGCGCGCGUAGGCGGCCCGGUAAGUCCGCUGUAAAAGUCAAAGGCUCAACCUUUGAAUGUCAGUGGAUACUGCCGGGCUAGAGUCCGGAAGAGGCGAGUGGAACUCCUGGUGUAGCGGUGAAAUGCGCAGAUAUCAGGAGGAACACCAAUUGCGAAGGCAGCUCGCUGGAACGUAACUGACGCUGAGACGCGAAAGCGUGGGGAGCAAACAGG